CAGCAGCCGCGGGAAUACGAAGGGUGCAAGCGUUAAUCGGAAUUACUGGGCGUAAAGCGUGCGUAAGCGGUUAUGUAAGACAGUUGUUAAAUCCCCGGGCUCAACCUGGGAACUGCAUCUGUGACUGCAUAGCUAGAGUACGGUAGAGGGGGAUGGAAUUCCGCGUGUAGCAGUGAAAUGCGUAGAUAUGCGGAGGAACACCGAUGGCGAAGGCAAUCCCCUGGACCUGUACUGACGCUCAUGCACGAAAGCGUGGGGAGCAAACAGGAUUAGAUACCCCUGUAGUCCCUGUCUCUUAUAC
Molecule: ribosomal RNA, 301 nt
Filed under: uncultured bacterium
Lineage: Bacteria
Description: partial 16S ribosomal RNA
Rfam family: Bacterial small subunit ribosomal RNA
Source: RNAcentral